This 230-nucleotide ribosomal RNA is filed under the name uncultured bacterium. RNAcentral describes it as "partial 16S ribosomal RNA". It matches the Rfam family "Bacterial small subunit ribosomal RNA", at positions 561 to 791 of the family's 1533-position model. The record is from RNAcentral.
UAAAGCGUGCGCAGGCGGUUUUGUAAGUCUGAUGUGAAAUCCCCGGGCUCAACCUGGGAAUUGCAUUGGAGACUGCAAGGCUAGAAUCUGGCAGAGGGGGUAGAAUUCCACGUGUAGCAGUGAAAUGCGUAGAUAUGUGGAGGAACACCGAUGGCGAAGGCAGCCCCCUGGGUCAAGAUUGACGCUCAUGCACGAAAGCGUGGGGAGCAAACAGGAUUAGAUACCCCAGU